RNAcentral lists this ribosomal RNA (253 nucleotides) under uncultured bacterium. Its description in RNAcentral is "partial 16S ribosomal RNA". It matches the Rfam family "Bacterial small subunit ribosomal RNA", at positions 524 to 776 of the family's 1533-position model. The record is from RNAcentral.
UACGGAAGGGGCAAGCGUUGUUCGGAAUCAUUGGGCGUAAAGGGCGCGUAGGCGGCCUGGUAAGUCAAAGGUGAAAUCCCUCGGCUCAACUGAGGAACUGCCUUUGAAACUGUCAGGCUCGAGUCCGGGAGGGGGUGGCGGAAUUCCCAGUGUAGCGGUGAAAUGCGUAGAUAUUGGGAGGAACACCAGUGGCGAAGGCGGCCACCUGGACCGGAUCUGACGCUGAUGCGCGAAAGCGUGGGUAGCAAACAGG